This 722-nucleotide ribosomal RNA is filed under the name uncultured Fusobacterium sp. RNAcentral describes it as "bacterial SSU rRNA". It matches the Rfam family "Bacterial small subunit ribosomal RNA", at positions 28 to 776 of the family's 1533-position model. The record is from RNAcentral. Lineage: Bacteria; Fusobacteriati; Fusobacteriota; Fusobacteriia; Fusobacteriales; Fusobacteriaceae.
GAUGAACGCUGACAGAAUGCUUAACACAUGCAAGUCUACUUGAACUUCGGUUUGGGUGGCGGACGGGUGAGUAACGCGUAAAGAACUUGCCUCACAGUUAGGGACAACAUUUGGAAACGAAUGCUAAUACCUGAUAUUAUGAUUUUAGGGCAUCCUAAGAUUAUGAAAGCUAUAUGCGCUGUGAGAGAGCUUUGCGUCCCAUUAGCUAGUUGGAGAGGUAACGGCUCACCAAGGCGAUGAUGGGUAGCCGGCCUGAGAGGGUGAACGGCCACAAGGGGACUGAGACACGGCCCUUACUCCUACGGGAGGCAGCAGUGGGGAAUAUUGGACAAUGGACCAAAAGUCUGAUCCAGCAAUUCUGUGUGCACGAUGACGUUUUUCGGAAUGUAAAGUGCUUUCAGUUGGGAAGAAAAAAAUGACGGUACCAACAGAAGAAGUGACGGCUAAAUACGUGCCAGCAGCCGCGGUAAUACGUAUGUCACAAGCGUUAUCCGGAUUUAUUGGGCGUAAAGCGCGUCUAGGUGGUUAUGUAAGUCUGAUGUGAAAAUGCAGGGCUCAACUCUGUAUUGCGUUGGAAACUGCAUGACUAGAGUACCGGAGAGGUAAGCGGAACUACAAGUGUAGAGGUGAAAUUUGUAGAUAUUUGUAGGAAUGCCGAUGGGGAAGCCAGCUUACUGGACAGAUACUGACGCUAAAGCGCGAAAGCGUGGGUAGCAAACAGG